RNAcentral lists this microRNA (22 nucleotides) under Sarcophilus harrisii (Tasmanian devil). Its description in RNAcentral is "Sha-Mir-7262-P7_3p (mature (guide))". RNAcentral also lists the same sequence under 1 other name. Lineage: Eukaryota; Metazoa; Chordata; Mammalia; Dasyuromorphia; Dasyuridae. The record is from RNAcentral.
AAACUGCUCUAAGACCUUUGGG